CAGCCGCCGCGGGAAUACAGAGGUCCCGAGCGUUGUUCGGAUUCACUGGGCGUAAAGGGUGUGUAGGAGGCUAGGUAAGUCAGUUGUGAAAUCCCACCGCUCAACGGUGGAACUGCAAUCGAUACUGCUUGGCUAGAGGAUCGGAGGGGGAAGCGGAAUUCUUGGUGUAGCGGUGAAAUGCGUAGAUAUCAAGAGGAACACCGGUGGCGAAGGCAGCUUCCUGGAAGAUUCCUGACUCUGAAACACGAAAGCCAGGGGAGCGAAUGGGAUUAGAUACCCGCGUAGUCCCUGUCUCUUAUAC
This 301-nucleotide ribosomal RNA is filed under the name uncultured bacterium. Its description in RNAcentral is "partial 16S ribosomal RNA". It matches the Rfam family "Bacterial small subunit ribosomal RNA", at positions 509 to 807 of the family's 1533-position model. The record is from RNAcentral.